This 430-nucleotide ribosomal RNA is filed under the name Pseudomonadota bacterium. Its description in RNAcentral is "Proteobacteria bacterium partial 16S ribosomal RNA". It matches the Rfam family "Bacterial small subunit ribosomal RNA", at positions 355 to 776 of the family's 1533-position model. The record is from RNAcentral. Lineage: Bacteria; Pseudomonadati; Pseudomonadota.
UGGGGAAUAUUGGACAAUGGGGGGAACCCUGAUCCAGCCAUGCCGCGUGUGUGAAGAAGGCCUUAUGGUUGUAAAGCACUUUAAGCGAGGAGGAGGGUACUGGUAUUAAUACUACCAGCUACUGGACGUUACUCGCAGAAUAAGCACCGGCUAACUCUGUGCCAGCAGCCGCGGUAAUACAGAGGGUGCGAGCGUUAAUCGGAUUUACUGGGCGUAAAGCGUGCGUAGGCGGCUAAUUGAGUCGGAUGUGAAAUCCCCGAGCUUAACUUGGGAAUUGCAUUCGAUACUGGUUAGCUAGAGUGUGGGGGAGGAUGGUAGAAUUCCAGGUGUAGCGGUGAAAUGCGUAGAGAUCUGGAGGAAUACCGAUGGCGAAGGCAGCCAUCUGGCCUAACACUGACGCUGAGGUACGAAAGCAUGGGGAGCAAACAGG